This 482-nucleotide ribosomal RNA is filed under the name uncultured bacterium. RNAcentral's name for it is "partial 16S ribosomal RNA". It matches the Rfam family "Bacterial small subunit ribosomal RNA", at positions 30 to 507 of the family's 1533-position model. The record is from RNAcentral.
AUUGAACGCUGGCGGCAUGCCUUACACAUGCAAGUCGAACGGUAACAGGUCUUCGGAUGCUGACGAGUGGCGCACGGGUGAGUAAUACAUCGGAACGUGCCCGAUCGUGGGGGAUAACGAGGCGAAAGCUUUGCUAAUACCGCAUACGAUCUACGGAUGAAAGCGGGGGAUCUUCGGACCUCGCGCGGACGGAGCGGCCGAUGGCAGAUUAGGUAGUUGGUGGGAUAAAAGCUUACCAAGCCGACGAUCUGUAGCUGGUCUGAGAGGAUGAUCAGCCACACUGGGACUGAGACACGGCCCAGACUCCUACGGGAGGCAGCAGUGGGGAAUUUUGGACAAAGGGCGAAAGCCUGAUCCAGCCAUGCCGCGUGCAGGAUGAAGGCCUUCGGGUUGUAAACUGCUUUUGUACGGAACGAAAAGCCUCUUUCUAAUAAAGAGGGGUCAUGACGGUACCGUAAGAAUAAGCACCGGCUAACUACGUG